This 1140-nucleotide long non-coding RNA is filed under the name Oncorhynchus mykiss (rainbow trout). RNAcentral describes it as "lncRNA (ENSOMYG00000074050.1)". Lineage: Eukaryota; Metazoa; Chordata; Actinopteri; Salmoniformes; Salmonidae. The record is from RNAcentral.
AUGAAGUGCUUUGAGAGACUAGUCAAGGAUCAUCAUAUCACCUCCUCCCUACCUGAUACCCUAGACCCACAACAAUUUGCUUACCGCCCCAAUAGGUCCACAGACGAUGCAAUCGCCAUCACACUGCACACUGCCCUAUCCCAUCUGGACAAGAAGAAUACAUAUGUAAGAAUACUGUUCAUUGACUACAGCUCAGCAUUUAACAUCAUAGUACCCUCCAAACUCGUCAUUAAGCUUGAGACCCUGGGUCUCGACCCAACUCUGUGCAACUGGAUCCUGGACUUUUUGACGGGCCGCCCCCAGAUGGUGAAGGUAGGAAACAACAUCUCCACCCUGCUGAUCCUCAACACUGGGGCCCUGCAAGGGUGCGGUCUCAGCCCUCUCCUGUACUCCCUGUUCCCCCAUGACUGCGUGGCCAUGCACAACUCCAACUCAACCAUCAAGUUUGCAGACGACGCUACAGUGGUAGGCUUGAUUACCAACAACGACGAGACGGCCUACAGGGAGGAGGUGAGGGCCCUCGGAGUGUGGUGUCAGGAAAAUAACCUCUCACUCAAGGUCAACAAAACAAAGGAGGUGAUUGUGGACUUCAGGAAACAGCAGAGGGAGCACCCCCCCAUCCACAUCGACAGAACAGAAGUGGAGAAGGUGGAAAAUUUUAAGUUCCUCAGCGUACACAUCACGGACAAACUGAAAUGGUCCACCCACACAGACAGCGUGGUGAAGGCGGCGCAACAUCGCCUCCUCAACCUCAGGAGGCUGAAGAAAUUUGGCUUGUCACCUAAAACACUCACAAACUUUUACAGAUGCAUAAUCAAGAGCAUCCUGUCGGGCUGUAUCACCGCCUGGUAUGGCAACUGCACCGCCCUCAUCCGCAAGGCUCUCCAGAGGGUAGUGCUGUCUGCACAACACAUCGCCGGAGGCAAACCACCUGCCCUCCAGGACACCUCCACCACCCGAUGUCACAGGAAGGCCAAAAAGAUAAUCAAGGACAACAACCACCUGAGCCACUGCCUGUUCACCCCCCUAUCAUCUAGAAGGCGAGGUCAGUACAGGUGCAGUGAAGCUGGGACCGAGAUACUGAAAAAACAGCUUCUAUCUCACCGCCAUCAUCCUGUUAAACAGCCAUCACUAACAUAG